Molecule: ribosomal RNA, 1927 nt
Filed under: Campylobacter jejuni
Lineage: Bacteria; Pseudomonadati; Campylobacterota; Epsilonproteobacteria; Campylobacterales; Campylobacteraceae
Description: partial 23S ribosomal RNA
Rfam family: Bacterial large subunit ribosomal RNA
Source: RNAcentral
UCAAGAGGGAAACAACCCAGACUACCAGCUAAGGUCCCUAAAUCUUACUUAAGUGGAAAACGAUGUGAAGUUACUUAAACAACCAGGAGGUUGGCUUAGAAGCAGCCAUCCUUUAAAGAAAGCGUAAUAGCUCACUGGUCUAGUGAUUUUGCGCGGAAAAUAUAACGGGGCUAAAGUAAGUACCGAAGCUGUAGACUUAGUUUACUAAGUGGUAGGAGAGCGUUCUAUUUGCGUCGAAGGUAUACCGGUAAGGAGUGCUGGAGCGAAUAGAAGUGAGCAUGCAGGCAUGAGUAGCGAUAAUUAAUGUGAGAAUCAUUAACGCCGUAAACCCAAGGUUUCCUACGCGAUGCUCGUCAUCGUAGGGUUAGUCGGGUCCUAAGUCGAGUCCGAAAGGGGUAGACGAUGGCAAAUUGGUUAAUAUUCCAAUACCAACAUUAGUGUGCGAUGGAAGGACGCUUAGGGCUAAGGGGGCUAGCGGAUGGAAGUGCUAGUCUAAGGUCGUAGGAGGUUAUACAGGCAAAUCCGUAUAACAAUACUCCGAGAACUGAAAGGCUUUUUGAAGUCUUCGGAUGGAUAGAAGAACCCCUGAUGCCGUCGAGCCAAGAAAAGUUUCUAAGUUUAGCUAAUGUUGCCCGUACCGUAAACCGACACAGGUGGGUGGGAUGAGUAUUCUAAGGCGCGUGGAAGAACUCUCUUUAAGGAACUCUGCAAAAUAGCACCGUAUCUUCGGUAUAAGGUGUGGUUAGCUUUGUAUUAGGAUUUACUCCGAAAGCAAGGAAACUUACAACAAAGAGUCCCUCCCGACUGUUUACCAAAAACACAGCACUCUGCUAACUCGUAAGAGGAUGUAUAGGGUGUGACGCCUGCCCGGUGCUCGAAGGUUAAUUGAUGGGGUUAGCAUUAGCGAAGCUCUUGAUCGAAGCCCGAGUAAACGGCGGCCGUAACUAUAACGGUCCUAAGGUAGCGAAAUUCCUUGUCGGUUAAAUACCGACCUGCAUGAAUGGCGUAACGAGAUGGGAGCUGUCUCAAAGAGGGAUCCAGUGAAAUUGUAGUGGAGGUGAAAAUUCCUCCUACCCGCGGCAAGACGGAAAGACCCCGUGGACCUUUACUACAGCUUGACACUGCUACUUGGAUAAGAAUGUGCAGGAUAGGUGGGAGGCUUUGAGUAUAUGACGCCAGUUGUAUAUGAGCCAUUGUUGAGAUACCACUCUUUCUUAUUUGGGUAGCUAACCAGCUUGAGUUAUCCUCAAGUGGGACAAUGUCUGGUGGGUAGUUUGACUGGGGCGGUCGCCUCCCAAAUAAUAACGGAGGCUUACAAAGGUUGGCUCAGAACGGUUGGAAAUCGUUCGUAGAGUAUAAAGGUAUAAGCCAGCUUAACUGCAAGACAUACAAGUCAAGCAGAGACGAAAGUCGGUCUUAGUGAUCCGGUGGUUCUGUGUGGAAGGGCCAUCGCUCAAAGGAUAAAAGGUACCCCGGGGAUAACAGGCUGAUCUCCCCCAAGAGCUCACAUCGACGGGGAGGUUUGGCACCUCGAUGUCGGCUCAUCGCAUCCUGGGGCUGGAGCAGGUCCCAAGGGUAUGGCUGUUCGCCAUUUAAAGCGGUACGCGAGCUGGGUUCAGAACGUCGUGAGACAGUUCGGUCCCUAUCUGCCGUGGGCGUAAGAAGAUUGAAGAGAUUUGACCCUAGUACGAGAGGACCGGGUUGAACAAACCACUGGUGUAGCUGUUGUUCUGCCAAGAGCAUCGCAGCGUAGCUAAGUUUGGAAAGGAUAAACGCUGAAAGCAUCUAAGCGUGAAGCCAACUCUAAGAUGAAUCUUCUCUAAGCUCUCUAGAAGACUACUAGUUUGAUAGGCUGGGUGUGUAAUGGAUGAAAGUCCUUUAGCUGACCAGUACUAAUAGAGCGUUUGGCUUAUCUUUAAUAAAGCAU